Molecule: ribosomal RNA, 372 nt
Filed under: uncultured bacterium
Lineage: Bacteria
Description: bacterial SSU rRNA
Rfam family: Bacterial small subunit ribosomal RNA
Source: RNAcentral
UACGGAGGGUGCAAGCGUUAUCCGGAAUCAUUGGGUUUAAAGGGUCCGCAGGCGGAAAUGUAAGUCAGGGGUGAAAUCCGGCAGCUCAACUGUCGCAUUGCCUUUGAUACUGUGUUUCUUGAAUUUUAAUGGAGUGGGCGGAAUAUGUCAUGUAGCGGUGAAAUGCUUAGAUAUGACAUGGAACACCGAUAGCGAAGGCAGCUCACUAAUUAUGAAUUGACGCUCAUGGACGAAAGCGUGGGUAGCAAACAGGAUUAGAUACCCUGGUAGUCCACGCCGUAAACGAUGAUUACUCGUUGUCGGGUUUUCGAACUCGGUGACUAAGCGAAAGUGAUAAGUAAUCCACCUGGGGAGUACGAUCGCAAGGUUGAA